UAAUCCUUUCCUCUCCCUCUUCUGCCUCAUUCUAUUAGUAAACAAGGCCUGUUAACUCAACCUUUCUUGACAUGCUUCCCUCUUCUUCAUGCUCUAGGAGGUCGUCCUUGUGCAUUUCUGUGACCAUAAAAGUCAGUCAAAUCUUGACUUAUAGUCAACCUUCAAGUG
RNAcentral lists this long non-coding RNA (168 nucleotides) under Sarcophilus harrisii (Tasmanian devil). Its description in RNAcentral is "lncRNA (ENSSHAG00000023528.1)". The record is from RNAcentral. Lineage: Eukaryota; Metazoa; Chordata; Mammalia; Dasyuromorphia; Dasyuridae.